Molecule: unclassified non-coding RNA, 206 nt
Filed under: plant metagenome
Description: partial contains small subunit ribosomal RNA, internal transcribed spacer 1, and 5.8S ribosomal RNA
Source: RNAcentral
UUUCCGUAGGUGAACCUGCGGAAGGAUCAUUAACGAGAUGUUGGCUUCGGUCGACGACUUCACACUUGUAAACGAAACAAUGCUUCGGCGAGACCCGCAAGGCGUCGACUUUAUGUGGACGAGUGCUCGCCGAAAUAAACUCUUUUAUUUGUUGUCAAUACCAAAAAAAUAAAUUAAAACUUUCAACAACGGAUCUCUUGGUUCUG